RNAcentral lists this ribosomal RNA (520 nucleotides) under uncultured organism. Its description in RNAcentral is "SSU rRNA". It matches the Rfam family "Bacterial small subunit ribosomal RNA", at positions 284 to 799 of the family's 1533-position model. The record is from RNAcentral.
UAGGGGGUUCUGAGAAGGAAGUUCCCCCACGUUGGUACUGAGACACGGACCAAACUCCUACGGGAGGCAGCAGUGAGGAAUAUUGGUCAAUGGCCGAGAGGCUGAACCAGCCAAGUCGCGUGAAGGAAGAAGGAUCUAUGGUUUGUAAACUUCUUUUAUAGGGGAAUAAAGUGGAGGACGUGUCCUUUUUUGUAUGUACCCUAUGAAUAAGCAUCGGCUAACUCCGUGCCAGCAGCCGCGGUAAUACGGAGGAUGCGAGCGUUAUCCGGAUUUAUUGGGUUUAAAGGGUGCGUAGGUGGUGAUUUAAGUCAGCGGUGAAAGUUUGUGGCUCAACCAUAAAAUUGCCGUUGAAACUGGGUUACUUGAGUGUGUUUGAGGUAGGCGGAAUGCGUGGUGUAGCGGUGAAAUGCAUAGAUAUCACGCAGAACUCCGAUUGCGAAGGCAGCUUACUAAACCAUAACUGACACUGAAGCACGAAAGCGUGGGGAUCGAACAGGAUUAGAUACCCUGGUAGUCCACG